AAGCAGCCGCGGUAAUUCCAGCUCCAAUAGCGUAUAUUAAAGUUGUUGCAGUUAAAAAGCUCGUAGUUGAAUUUCGGGGUUAGUAGGUUGGUCAUGCCUCUGGUAUGUACUGGUCUCACUGAUUCCUCCUUCCUGAUGAACCGUAAUGCCAUUAAUUUGGUGUUGCGGGGAAUUUGGACUGUUACUUUGAAAAAAUUAGAGUGUUUAAAGCAAGCUAACGCUUGAAUACAUUAGCAUGGAAUAAUGAAAUAGGACGUUUGAUUCUAUUUUGUUGGUUUCUAGGAUUGACGUAAUGAUUAAUAGGGAUAGUUGGGGGCAUUAGUAUUCAAUUGUCAGAGGUGAAUUUCUUGGAUUUAUUGAAGACUAACUACUGCGAAAGCAUUUGCCAAGGAUGUUUUCAUUAAUCAAGAACGAAAGUUAGGGGAUCGAAGACGAUCAGAUACCGUCGUAGUCUUAACCAUAAACUAUGCCGACUAGGGAUCGGAUGAUGCUAUUUUUAAUGACUCA
This 507-nucleotide ribosomal RNA is filed under the name uncultured Glomus. RNAcentral describes it as "SSU rRNA". It matches the Rfam family "Eukaryotic small subunit ribosomal RNA", at positions 568 to 1078 of the family's 1831-position model. Lineage: Eukaryota; Fungi; Glomeromycota; Glomeromycetes; Glomerales; Glomeraceae. The record is from RNAcentral.